GACGAACGCUGGCGGCGUGCCUAACACAUGCAAGUCGAACGGAGAGGACAUGAAGUAUUUCGGUACGGAAUGCUCUCUUAGUGGCGAACGGGUGAGUAACACGUGGGCAACCUGCCCCAGACUGGGGGAUAACAUUGUGAAAACAGUGCUAAUACCGCAUGACAGGGUUCCGGGCAUCCGGGACCCUUGAAAGGAGAAAUCCGGUCAGGGAUGGGCCCGCGUCCAAUUAGCUAGUUGGCGGGGUAACGGCCCACCAAGGCGACGAUUGGUAGCCGAACUGAGAGGUUGAUCGGCCACAUUGGGACUGAGACACGGCCCAGACUCCUACGGGAGGCAGCAGUGGGGAAUAUUGGGUCAAUGGGCGAAAGCCUGACCCAGCGACGCCGCGUGAAGGAUGAAGGUCUUCGGACUGUAAACUUCUUUGAUCAGGAGAAGAAUGACGGUACCUGAAAACAAGCCACGGCUAACUACGUGCCAGCAGCCGCGUAAUCUAGUCUACG
This 500-nucleotide ribosomal RNA is filed under the name uncultured bacterium. Its description in RNAcentral is "bacterial SSU rRNA". It matches the Rfam family "Bacterial small subunit ribosomal RNA", at positions 28 to 531 of the family's 1533-position model. The record is from RNAcentral.